Molecule: ribosomal RNA, 301 nt
Filed under: uncultured bacterium
Lineage: Bacteria
Description: partial 16S ribosomal RNA
Rfam family: Bacterial small subunit ribosomal RNA
Source: RNAcentral
CAGCCCGCGGUAAUACAGAGGGUGCAAGCGUUAAUCGGAAUUACUGGGCGUAAAGCGCGCGUAGGUGGUUUGUUAAGUUGGAUGUGAAAGCCCCGGGCUCAACCUGGGAACUGCAUCCAAAACUGGCAAGCUAGAGUACGGUAGAGGGUGGUGGAAUUUCCUGUGUAGCGGUGAAAUGCGUAGAUAUAGGAAGGAACACCAGUGGCGAAGGCGACCACCUGGACUGAUACUGACACUGAGGUGCGAAAGCGUGGGGAGCAAACAGGAUUAGAUACCCCAGUAGUCCCUGUCUCUUAUACAC